Molecule: ribosomal RNA, 253 nt
Filed under: uncultured bacterium
Lineage: Bacteria
Description: partial 16S ribosomal RNA
Rfam family: Bacterial small subunit ribosomal RNA
Source: RNAcentral
UACAGAGGGGGCGAGCGUUGUUCGGAAUUACUGGGCGUAAAGGGCGCGUAGGCGGCCCGCUAAGUCGAACGUGAAAUCCCCAGGCUCAACUUGGGAACUGCAUCCGAUACUGGAUGGCUUGAAUUCGGGAGAGGGAUGCAGAAUUCCAGGUGUAGCGGUGAAAUGCGUAGAUAUCUGGAGGAAUACCGGUGGCGAAGGCGGCAUCCUGGACCAACACUGACGCUGAGGAGCGAAAGCCAGGGGAGCAAACGGG